CUAACUACCUGCCAUCUCCCGCGGUAAUACUUGGGUGCAAGCGUUAAUCGGAAUUACUGGGCG
RNAcentral lists this ribosomal RNA (63 nucleotides) under uncultured bacterium. RNAcentral describes it as "partial 16S ribosomal RNA". The record is from RNAcentral.